GAUGAUAUGAGUGCAUGUCUUAUACAACUAAAACAUCAAUUGUGAUACUAAGGCUUCUAUAUUUUCAUUUCUGCACACUUUAGCAGAGAAACUAUCAUUUAUUAGCAUGAAGGCAUAUUUUUGACAAAGAAACCAUCUUUCAUCAGCCUGAAGGCAUGUUUUUGGAAAAGAAACUUUUUUCAUCCACCUGGAGGCACAUUUUUUGUAAAGAAACCUUUUUCAUCCACUUGUUUGUUUACCCUAAAGA
RNAcentral lists this long non-coding RNA (247 nucleotides) under Durio zibethinus. RNAcentral's name for it is "long non-coding RNA (DZIB_LNC002140)". The record is from RNAcentral. Lineage: Eukaryota; Viridiplantae; Streptophyta; Magnoliopsida; Malvales; Malvaceae.